UCCGUACCCCGACGCGACAGAGUCAGCCUCACUUGUUUCUGAUUUUCAUUCGUGUGUGCGUGCGUGUGUGUGUAGUAGAAAGCUGCGCAGAGGCACCAAGACAGCGUUGCACCACCCACAGCAGUGGUUCGGGGUCCGGUGCCUUGGAGACUUCUGCUCUUCUAUUUUUUUCUGUGCAGCACACCCUGUCCGUCCUUCGUGGCAAUGCCGGCGAAAACCGGUGGGUUCCGCAAGCUGGCUGAGGAGAAGGCGCUGCUGUCGGACCUUAGCAAAAUGUUCCACAUAAUCAAGGCCGACCACAAGGAGCAGCGGAACGGACGCGAGGCCGUUGCCGCGGCUGCCGCGGCCUCGACAGCAGCUGCAAACGCGGCAAGCGUAAAGGCCCCCAAGAAGACCAAGGUCGAUACACGUCGAGGCUCGCGGCGACGCAGCCAACGCGGGGGGUCCGUCUGGAUCGUGCUCAAGGGCGGCUUUAACCCGAAGAGUGUGCCCACUGCGAUGCAGACGGAGCAGGUCGACACUCGUGCUAGUGGGCGAGCUCUGCUCUCGGAAAAGCGGCGUGCCGCAGCACUCAAGGAGGCCGAGGCGUAUAUCGAGAGUGCGUGGCAGCAGGUACAAGAGGCGGAGCUCCUCACCAAGGACGGCACACCGACGGAGGAAGGUGACGCCUACCUCGCCGAGCAGUACGCCUUGGCGUCGCGGAUGCUUUGCCCUCCUACAACUGGCGCUCAUCUCCAUCAGCUCGUCGUGAGCCACUGCAACAGCGGUUUGGACGAUGUUGUCACCGGGGUGGCACAUGGCCAACCCGAGUACACGCUGACCCGAAGCGAAUGGGAGGAUAUCUGCACACGUGAGGCGGCCAUUCUUUUCCGCUAUUGCACAAGUGCCACGCCCUCCGGAACGGCGGAGGACUACUUCAAGGAGCAACAACAGGCCCGUGAAAACCUCUACCACUUUGCUACGGCGGAGCCGAUGACGAAGGCGGGCGAUAUUGUGCCCACCAAGUGCUUGGUGCGCAUUCGUGACAGCCAGCGAGACAAGCACACGUGCAUUCUGAGCACUGCCAAGUCUGUGAACUAUUUUAAGUCCAACUUCGGACAGGUACUGCGGAAGGAGCUCAGCGCGUCGCGUCUGCCGCGCGGCGGUGCGGCUGACGAGGGGGAGGCGGCCACCAGCACGAAUACUGGAAAAGGAAACCAUCAAACGACGCCGCAGUCUGGCGUGGCUGCCAACAAUUCAAACAACGGCAAAAAGAAGAGGAGGCGCUGAGCUGUGUGCAGAUGCAGAGGCGGCCGUCGUUCCGUUUGGGAGGCCGCGCCUGCGCAGCUUUCACGAUGGACCUGUGAGGUUGGCAUUUAGGCCCCCAACCCACCUCUUUCCCCUCACCAAGCGAUGUCGCGGAUUGGGCGCACUCUGCUGGUACAUCUCUUUUCACUCCCCCUUUUCGCAUGUGCAUGUGUGCGUGUGUGUGUGUGUGUGUGUGAGGUCCCGGAUAGCGAGCCUGACGGCUGGUCGGUGCGUUCGUCUUUGCUCCUCUCUUCCAUCGGCGCUUUUCUUAUUGGAAGAGGCGUCUUUAGUCGUUCUUGCCACGCGGGGGUGUCUGCAGGCAAUGUAGCUCCAGCUGCCGGCUCAUGCGGCCUGUUUUCUUCCAUCCCCGACAUACACACGCACACACACGCACGCCUCCUGUGUUCACUGAUGUUGUACGGCGGCUGGGCCGCCUUGUCGUGCUGCUCCCUCAUCUGUGGCAGCCGUGCUGCCCUGCGUUGUGUCUUCUGUUUUGACCGUCCGCGUGCGCUCGGCCAGCGGCGUAGCAGAUCGCGUUUGUACGGCGUUUGUGUGUGGUGGUGGUGGGGGCGGCGCCCAAUGAAGCGCAUAGGCGUUUUGUGUUCUGUCUCUUCGCAUGUUAUUCUCGUUAUAUUGGUAUUGGUAACUAACUCGUAUGGCGGGUGAAAAACGGUGUUGGCGCCGGGCUGCCGCGGCACGGCGCGGCCGCCAUUCGCGGGUCGGUGUAGGUGUGCAUGGCGCCUAUGCUUCGUUUUAAUUGGCAUUAUUCUCUUCCAGCCGUGCCCCCCCUCCCCACACACACCGGCUUGCCCGUUGCGGAGAUGCGCACAUUGGCGUGGGCACUCGUCAGUCGACGAGUGCCCACCAUUCG
This 2158-nucleotide unclassified non-coding RNA is filed under the name Leishmania donovani. Its description in RNAcentral is "gene:LdHU3.02.0140(CDS-product:hypothetical_prote in_conserved)". The record is from RNAcentral. Lineage: Eukaryota; Euglenozoa; Kinetoplastea; Trypanosomatida; Trypanosomatidae.